UACGUAGGGGGCCAGCGUUGCUCGGAAUUAUUGGGCGUAAAGGGCGCGUAGGCGGUCAGGUAAGUCUGAUGUGAAAUCCCACGGCUUAACCGUGGAAUUGCAUCUUAUACUGCUUGGCUAGAGUCUGGGAGAGGGAAGCGGAAUUCCCGGCGUAGCGGUGAAAUGCGUAGAUAUCGGGAGGAACACCAGUGGCGAAGGCGGCUUCCUGGACCAGUACUGACGCUGAGGCGCGAAAGCGUGGGGAGCAAACAGG
This 253-nucleotide ribosomal RNA is filed under the name uncultured bacterium. RNAcentral's name for it is "partial 16S ribosomal RNA". It matches the Rfam family "Bacterial small subunit ribosomal RNA", at positions 524 to 776 of the family's 1533-position model. The record is from RNAcentral.